UAAUGCAAGUCGAACGAGAAAGUAUCUUCGGAUACGAGUACAGUGGCGGACGGGUGAGUAAUACAUAGGAAUCUACCCAAUGGAGGGGGAUAGCUCGAGGAAACUCGAAUUAAUACCGCAUAAUCUCCACGGAGUAAAGAGGGCUUCGGCUCUCGCCAUCGGAUGAGCCUAUGCAGGAUUAGCUUGUUGGUGAGGUAAAGGCUUACCAAGGCGACGAUCCUUAGCUGGUUUGAGAGGAUGACCAGCCACAUCGGGACUGAGACACGGCCCGGACUUCUACGGAAGGCAGCAGUAGGGAAUAUUGGACAAUGAGCGAAAGCUUGAUCCAGCCAUGCCGCGUGUGCGAUGACGGCCCUCGGGUUGUAAAGCACUUUAGGUAACGAGGAAAAGUUAGGUGUUAAUACCAUCUAACCUUGACGUUAAUUACAGAAUAAGCACCGGCUAAAUCCGUGCCAGCAGCCGCGGUAAUACGGAUGGUGCAAGCGUUAAUCGGAAUUACUGGGCGUAAAGCGCGCGUAGGUGGCAUAUUAAGUUAGAUGUGAAAUCCCGAGGCUUAACCUCGGAACUGCAUCUAAAACUAAUAAGCUAG
This 589-nucleotide ribosomal RNA is filed under the name uncultured bacterium. RNAcentral describes it as "bacterial SSU rRNA". It matches the Rfam family "Bacterial small subunit ribosomal RNA", at positions 52 to 644 of the family's 1533-position model. The record is from RNAcentral.